AAUUUGAAAUCUGGCCCCCUCGGGGUCCGAGUUGUAAUUUGUAGAGAGCGCUUCGGGUGAGGUCGCGGUCUAAGUCCAUUGGAACAUGGCGUCGUAGAGGGUGAGAAUCCCGUAUGCGACCGCGGACCGAGCCCAUGUGAAGCCUCUUCGACGAGUCGAGUUGUUUGGGAAUGCAGCUCAAAAUGGGUGGUAUAUUUCAUCUAAAGCUAAAUACUGGCUGGAGACCGAUAGCGCACAAGUAGAGUGAUCGAAAGAUGAAAAGCACUUUGGAAAGAGAGUCAAACAGUACGUGAAAUUGUUGAAAGGGAAGCGCUUGCAACCAGACCUGCCCGGGGGCGAUCAGCCGCUGUUCUCAGCGGUGCACUCGUUCCCCGAUCAGGCCAGCAUCGGUUUCGGCGGUCGGACAAAGGCCCCGGGAAUGUAGCUUCCCCCGGGGAGUGUUAUAGCCCGGGGCGCAAUGCGGCCAGCCGGGACCGAGGACCGCGCUUCGGCUAGGAUGCUGGCGUAAUGGUUGUCAGCGACCCGUCUUGAAACACGGACCAAGGAGUCUAACAUCUAUGCGAGUGUUUGGGUGUCAAACCCACGCGCGGAAUGAAAGUGAACGGAGGUGAGAACCCCCCGGGGCGCAUCAUCGACCGAUCCAGAUGUCUUCGGAUGGAUUUGAGUAUGAGCAUAGCUGUUGGGACCCGAA
RNAcentral lists this ribosomal RNA (691 nucleotides) under Oropogon sp. Its description in RNAcentral is "eukaryotic LSU rRNA". It matches the Rfam family "Eukaryotic large subunit ribosomal RNA", at positions 112 to 820 of the family's 3401-position model. Lineage: Eukaryota; Fungi; Ascomycota; Lecanoromycetes; Lecanorales; Parmeliaceae. The record is from RNAcentral.